Molecule: long non-coding RNA, 4019 nt
Organism: Formica exsecta
Lineage: Eukaryota; Metazoa; Arthropoda; Insecta; Hymenoptera; Formicidae
Exons: 2
Source: RefSeq, a predicted model, not a curated record
AACCGAUAACACGCAUCCUCGCGCGCGAUAACGAGCGCACGAGGCUGGUCGUGGUGCUUUUUAAGGUUAAUCGUCGCGUGAGAGAAUCAUCGGCGUUUUUAAAUUCAUUUCAAUUUGGUUAUGUAAUCUUCGACGAGGACGACGUGACGUCCGCGUCUCGCAUCGUCUCGUCGACGAUGUCUCUCAAUGAGAUUCUCUCUCAUUUUCGUCGUUCAUCGCUCGUCGUUCACCUCGAACGCAAAAGCCGGCCUCGAUCGAGCGAGCGAGGGGGUGAGAGAGGGAGCGAGAUAGAGCGCGUUAUGUAACCUCGCGAAUUGCGCGAAUCUCGACGCACGGGGUCAUGUGAGUCGCCAUCGUUGGAGGGGGUGGCAAAAGGAGGAAGGGAGAAGGGUCUAGCAGAAGACGUAUCGCCGGCGCCAACGGACGAAUCUCAUCUCCAGGGUUACGUUCGAAAUUCUCGUAGCGCGUUAUUUAUUCAUUAAUCGGAAUAUGAUCUUUUCACUUUGAUUGAUCGAUCAAGCUCUACUUCAUCGAGUAGAUUCUCGAAUGCAACAACCGGUCGUUCCGGUUCGCACACGAAAGUACGUUUUUUCUCCUGAGUCGUCGAAUGCUGGAACAUAUUUGUAUUUAGUUUUUAUCUGGCUUCCACCUUUGAUGAAUCCGUAGCUGAGAUAUUUAUUAGAAUGUUUUCCUCGUGAUACUUUUCGAAAUAGUCGGAGGUACUAAUGAAAGGACAAACUUGUCCAACUAAUUUGUGAAAGUAUCCAAUGUUUCGAAAGAAAUAAUCAUCAAGAUGCAAGUGAGAAGAACCUUCGAAUAGUCGAAGUAUUCGCGGAAUAUAUUUUUCGAGAAUAAUCUCAUUGUCAGAAUUUAAAAGAUCGUCGAAAUUACUUGGCGAAGAAUUCAUCGAGAUCUUGGAGCUGCUCUAUUCCAAGGUUCUACAUAGAUUGUGCGAUAAUUAAUCAGUGAUAAGUAAUAUAAAUUACACUAUUAAAAUUGAUGUAAACUUCAAAAUAUUUACAAGAGAUCUUCCCAAUGAAAAUAUCAAGAAUUUCAAGAAAAUUAAUUGCAAUAAUUAUUGGAAAAUAUCAAGAAGUUAAUUGCAAUCAUUGGAAAAUAUCAAGAAAAUUAAUUGCAGUAAUUAUUGGAAUCCUAAAUGAUAAGAACGAUAACGUUCUUCAUACUUUCUUCAAUCUUUUUAGGAAAUGGUCAACGUUUAUCUAGGUUUGGAUAUAUCAAGAUUUACACAAGACGAUCAAACGCACGCACACAUGCUGUAAUCGCGUUUACGUAAUACAUUUUCAGUUAUGCUCGUGUCUCGAUUGGAAGCUCAGAUCGCUUUUUUUCUUCUUGUUUUUAGUCGAUAUGUACAACUGUCGUUGUGUAACGUCGAUAUUUACGACGAAUCUUGAUUUUGAGGACGAAGAAGCGACCGUAUGAUGCAACAUCGUUGUCUAAGACGGACGAGAAUGUUCGAUGCCGAGACGUCGACGUAAAGUUUAACGUCGUCGAGUUCUCGCGAUACGAAUCUCAGCAUAAUACUACGGGAUGUAACAUUCUAGGAUAAACAAUAACGAAUGAUGCAACAUCGACACUUGUGAGUGACGUCAAUGUAUGGCCGUCGGGACUCGAAUAAGAGAUAUUCUAGAUAACAAGAGGGCCAGCUGUGAUACGUACUCCAAUAGCGUAAAAACAAUCUUUGAAACGAAUGGAAAGCGAUGUCCAUGAAUACAAGGCGCUUCUCUGGAAUCGACCUCGUCAACUUCGUGCGGGGCGAAAAUAUAAUUUCUCUAAUUUUUCUGUCGCGCUUUUUCUAUCGCGCGUUUUCUUUUCUUUUUUCUUGAUGUAUAAAUAGAGGAAAUGAAAAAAAGGAUGACGAAACACAUGUUUUCCUUCUAAGAAUUGACUUUGAUUGACGGGAAUAUGCAUUUUCGAAGGAUACAGGACACCUGCAGAUAGACUUUCUUUCCGCCGAAACAUGUUUUUCCUCAACAGACAUGGAACAGAUGAAAAACAUGUGUAUGUUAAUGAUCGGCUGGAAAAUUCCUUGUUUGCAUUUCUUAUUGUCAGGAUAAGUAUCUAGAAACAAAUCCAAUUUAUCUUCUUACAAUCUUGUAAAUUGUUCUAUCUUUUUUAUAUUUAAAAAAACGAAAUUUUAUUAAAAAUUAUAAAAUUUUAAGAUUGUGUUGCAUCAGAAAAUCUGGAAAAUUCGAUAAACUUGAUUGGACGAGGAAGCGAUCGAUCUGUAUAAUCGUUCGUAUAUUUCCGUAAGUUUAAUGAAAAACGAGAGGGGAAAAAAACUUCGUUUUAACGCAUUCUCAUUCAUCUGUAUCGAGGGAACAAUUGCGAUCCGGAAUCGCAAUGAAGAAGAAGCACCUACCGAUAACGGGGGUUAUCGGCGCCGGCUAUUAUACUGUUUUACACGCAGUAUUCUACGUCAAACAGACAUCCCUCGAUGACAAUUGAAUCAAGCAAACUGAUGUAGUUGCAAUACGAUUGAAGAUUGAAGUUCGUACUUUCACCUUUGAGUUCGCGUGUUUAAAUCGAUCCUCCUCACGUGUCUCAGACUCUUCGUGAACCCGCAUACGGUUAACCCGUCGUUUGCGCUCUAUAUUUAGCUGUAAAUACUAUAUAGUCGUUUAUCUACCGCAUAUCUAUAUCUUUGACGCCUUUUUAUAUUUCAUCCAUUUUUCUACUUAUUUAAUUCCAAUUUUGAAAAGAUACAUGGCCGUAAAAUUUAAAAACAAUUGAAAAACAUCCAAAUUAUGUGUAAAAUUAGAAACGUCUUUUAAAUUUCUAUAUAUAAGUUUCUAGUUAUGUAUAUUUUCAAAAAAUAUACACAUUUAUUCUUAAUUUAUUCAAUAUUUUUAUAAAAAUUUUAAUUAAAUANAUAAUUUUUAAUUAAUUUUUUUUUAAGUUUUAUUUUUUAACAUGAAUAUGUGUGUUUGCUAUAUUUUUUAUAUUUUCAUAUUUUUACUUCAAGUUUAUCGGAAAAUUGUCAAAGUAUCGUCUUCUGAUAUUUUCGGCUGUUUGUUAUUAAAUUUAAAAAGAAAUUAUCAGGAAAAAUUGAUAAAAAUUAUCAAAUUACAUUAUCGUUUAAGGACGCGAAUAAUCGAUCGGUUUCUAACUUUUGCCGGGGUCAACGGCUGAUACGAUACUGCAUCGAUGCUAUUCAGGCCCGUGAAUCAAAUUAAGCGGCGGUUUAAUGGCGAGAAGAAAAGCGCGACGAUUCAUGAGCAUUGAUAAUCUUUCAACUGUGAACAUUUUAUUAAUGAUAUUAAAGCCGUUUUCGCGCUAUAACGUGAAUGAAACCGAUGAUGCCAUUCGUCAACGUGCUGUGUUUUAGCGACAGGUGCAUAAAACAUCGCGCCCGUGAUAAUUGUUAAUAAUAAAACUAACGUUCUGUCGCUCAGUAGAUCUCGUCUAAUAAAGCUCACUGCUUUUUUAACUCACUUCAUUUGUCAAUCAUUAAGAGCCGAGUUACCUCCGAUUGCGUCUUAUCUUAAUAACUUUUUGUUUUGAACCUAAUUACUAUGAUAACUAGUAAUAUAGAUAAGUGUAAUAAAACUUUAUUUCCUUUUUUAGUUAACAAAAGUUCCUACAAAGGUAAUUUUUUUUGCUUUUAUUUAGCAAGAAAUCUAACAUUUAUUUGCAGAAAAAUUAUAAUUGUUAUAUUAUUUAAAAAAUAAAAAGAUUUAUAUAUAAACAGUAGCCGAUUACUUUUUUCUUCCAAAGAAACAUUGUUUCAAAAGUUGACACGUUUCUACAACAUUCUACAUAUGUUAUUUCUAAAAAAAAAAAAAAAAAUAUUUCUUUAUAAUACGCAUAUGUAAUCAUCGCGGUUUUCUUCUCGUAUUUACAGACCUUUCUCACAUUAUUUUGUGAUAAGAUGCCUUUUAUAUCUACAUCCAAUUACACACCCGCGUUGUAAUAGGAGUACAAUAAUUCUACACAGAGUGACAGUGGAAGAGUACACCGAUAACGCGGUGAUAAGACAGGCAAUAUACGCGCCAGCAAAA